UCCGGAGUAGUUCAGUGGCAGAACCCUCGGCUCUUAACCGGGAGGGCGCUGGUUCGACUCCAGCCUCCGGACCCA
RNAcentral lists this transfer RNA (75 nucleotides) under Stenotrophomonas sp. KH_036_B. RNAcentral describes it as "tRNA-Lys". It matches the Rfam family "tRNA". Rfam says of the family: Transfer RNA (tRNA) molecules are approximately 80 nucleotides in length. Their secondary structure includes four short double-helical elements and three loops (D, anti-codon, and T loops). The record is from RNAcentral. Lineage: Bacteria; Pseudomonadati; Pseudomonadota; Gammaproteobacteria; Lysobacterales; Lysobacteraceae.